GGGCCUGUAGCUCAGGUGGUUAGAGCGCACGCCUGAUAAGCGUGAGGUCGGAGGUUCAAGUCCUCCCAGGCCCA
This 74-nucleotide transfer RNA is filed under the name Thermoleophilia bacterium. RNAcentral's name for it is "tRNA-Ile". It matches the Rfam family "tRNA". From Rfam's summary of the family: Transfer RNA (tRNA) molecules are approximately 80 nucleotides in length. Their secondary structure includes four short double-helical elements and three loops (D, anti-codon, and T loops). RNAcentral also lists the same sequence under 3 other names. The record is from RNAcentral. Lineage: Bacteria; Bacillati; Actinomycetota; Thermoleophilia.